GGCGGCAGGCCUAACACAUGCAAGUCGAACGGAGUUAUAUUGUAGCUUGCUAUGGUAUAACUUAGUGGCAGACGGGUGAGUAAUGUAUAGGAAUCUACCUAGUAGUACGGAAUAAUUGUUGGAAACGGUAACUAAUACCGUAUACGCCCUACGGGGGAAAAAUUUAUUGCUAUUAGAUGAGCCUAUAUUAGAUUAGCUAGUUGGUGGAGUAAUAGCCUACCAAGGCAAUGAUCUAUAGCUGAUCUGAGAGGAUGAUCAGCCAUACUGGAACUGAGAUACGGUCCAGACUCCUACGGGAGGCAGCAGUGGGGAAUAUUGGACAAUGGGCGGAAGCCUGAUCCAGCCAUGCCGCAUGAGUGAAGAAGGCCUUUGGGUUGUAAAGCUCUUUUAGUGAGGAAGAUAAUGACGGUACUCACAGAAGAAGUCCUGGCUAACUCCGUGCCAGCAGCCGCGGUAAUACGGAGAGGGCUAGCGUUAUUCGGAAUUAUUGGGCGUAAAGGGCGCGUAGGCUGGUUAGUAAGUUAAAAGUGAAAUCCCGAGGCUUAACCUUGGAAUUGCUUUUAAAACUGCUAACCUAGAGAUUGAAAGAGGAUAGAGGAAUUCCUAGUGUAGAGGUGAAAUUCGUAAAUAUUAGGAGGAACACCAGUGGCGAAGGCGUCUAUCUGGUUCAAAUCUGACGCUGAGGCGCGAAGGCGUGGGGAGCAAACAGGAUUAGAUACCCUGGUAGUCCACGCUGUAAACGAUGAAUGUUAAAUAUGGGGAGUUUACUUUCUGUAUUACAGCUAACGCGUUAAACAUUCCGCCUGGGGACUACGGUCGCAAGAUUAAAACUCAAAGGAAUUGACGGGGACCCGCACAAGCGGUGGAGCAUGUGGUUUAAUUCGAUGCAACGCGAAAAACCUUACCACUCCUUGACAUGGAAAUUAUACCUAUUCGAAGGGAUAGGG
This 947-nucleotide ribosomal RNA is filed under the name uncultured bacterium. RNAcentral's name for it is "bacterial SSU rRNA". It matches the Rfam family "Bacterial small subunit ribosomal RNA", at positions 38 to 1014 of the family's 1533-position model. The record is from RNAcentral.